CCUACGGGUGGCAGCAGUGAGGAAUAUUGGUCAAUGGGCGAGAGCCUGAACCAGCCAAGUCGCGUGAGGGAAGACGGCCCUACGGGUUGUAAACCUCUUUUGUCAGGGAGCAAGGUGCAGGUCGGGACCUGCUGUGAGAGUACCUGAAGCAAAAGCAUCGGCUAACUCCGUGCCAGCAGCCGCGGUAAUACGGAGGGUCCGAGCGUUAUCCGGAUUUAUUGGGUUUAAAGGGAGCGUAGGUGGAUUGUUAAGUCAGUUGUGAAAGUUUGCGGCUCAACCGUAAAAUUGCAGUUGAAACUGGCAGUCUUGAGUACAGUAGAGGUGGGCGGAAUUCGUGGUGUAGCGGUGAAAUGCUUAGAUAUCACGAAGAACUCCGAUUGCGAAGGCAGCUCACUGGACUGCAACUGACACUGAGGCUCGAAAGUGUGGGUAUCAAACAGGAUUAGAUACCCCGGUAGUC
RNAcentral lists this ribosomal RNA (460 nucleotides) under uncultured bacterium. RNAcentral's name for it is "partial 16S ribosomal RNA". It matches the Rfam family "Bacterial small subunit ribosomal RNA", at positions 338 to 795 of the family's 1533-position model. The record is from RNAcentral.